UGGCUCUGUUGGUAGAGCAUGGCACUUGCAAUGCCAGGGUUGUGGGUUUGAUUCCCAC
Molecule: transfer RNA, 58 nt
Filed under: Salmo salar (Atlantic salmon)
Lineage: Eukaryota; Metazoa; Chordata; Actinopteri; Salmoniformes; Salmonidae
Rfam family: tRNA
About the family: Transfer RNA (tRNA) molecules are approximately 80 nucleotides in length.
Source: Rfam by way of RNAcentral